This 420-nucleotide ribosomal RNA is filed under the name uncultured bacterium. Its description in RNAcentral is "bacterial SSU rRNA". It matches the Rfam family "Bacterial small subunit ribosomal RNA", at positions 359 to 776 of the family's 1533-position model. The record is from RNAcentral.
GAAUAUUGGUCAAUGGACGCAAGUCUGAACCAGCCAUGCCGCGUGCAGGAUGACGGUCCUAUGGAUUGUAAACUGCUUUUGUACGAGAAGAAACACUACUUCGUGAAGUAGCUUGACGGUAUCGUAAGAAUAAGGAUCGGCCAACUCCGUUCCAGCAGCCGCGGUAAUACGGGGGAUCCAAGCGUUAUCCGGAAUCAUUGGGUUUAAAGGGUCCGUAGGCGGUCUUAUAAGUCAGUGGUGAAAUCUCCCCGCUCAACGGGGAAACUGCCAGUGAUACUGUAGGACUUGAAUAAUUAGGAAGUAACUAGAAUAUGUAGUGUAGCGGUGAAAUGCUUAGAGAUUACAUGGAAUACCAAUUGCGAAGGCAGGUUACUACUAAUUCAUUGACGCUGAUGGACGAAAGCGUGGGUAGCGAACAGG